GAUGAACGCUAGCGGCAGGCCUAACACAUGCAAGUCGAGGGGUAGAGUUAGCUUGCUAACUUGAGACCGGCGCACGGGUGCGUAACACGUAUGCAAUCUACCUUGUACAGAGGGAUAGCCCAGAGAAAUUUGGAUUAAUACCUCAUAGUAUCUUUACCUGGCAUCGGGUAAUUAUUAAAGUUCCAACGGUACAAGAUGAGCAUGCGUCCCAUUAGUUAGUUGGUAAGGUAACGGCUUACCAAGACAAUGAUGGGUAGGGGUCCUGAGAGGGAGAUCCCCCACACUGGUACUGAGACACGGACCAGACUCCUACGGGAGGCAGCAGUGAGGAAUAUUGGUCAAUGGACGCAAGUCUGAACCAGCCAUGCCGCGUGUAGGAAGACGGUCCUAUGGAUUGUAAACUACUUUUAUUAGGGAGGAAAAACUUUGAUUUAUCAGAGCUUGACGGUACCUAAGGAAUAAGCACCGGCUAACUCCGUGCCAGCAGCCGCGGU
RNAcentral lists this ribosomal RNA (494 nucleotides) under uncultured bacterium. RNAcentral describes it as "bacterial SSU rRNA". It matches the Rfam family "Bacterial small subunit ribosomal RNA", at positions 28 to 521 of the family's 1533-position model. The record is from RNAcentral.